This 360-nucleotide ribosomal RNA is filed under the name Escherichia coli. Its description in RNAcentral is "partial 23S ribosomal RNA". It matches the Rfam family "Bacterial large subunit ribosomal RNA", at positions 1 to 397 of the family's 2925-position model. Lineage: Bacteria; Pseudomonadati; Pseudomonadota; Gammaproteobacteria; Enterobacterales; Enterobacteriaceae. The record is from RNAcentral.
GGUUAAGCGACUAAGCGUACACGGUGGAUGCCCUGGCAGUCAGAGGCGAUGAAGGACGUGCUAAUCUGCGAUAAGCGUCGGUAAGGUGAUAUGAACCGUUAUAACCGGCGAUUUCCGAAUGGGGAAACCCAGUGUGUUUCGACACACUAUCAUUAACUGAAUCCAUAGGUUAAUGAGGCGAACCGGGGGAACUGAAACAUCUAAGUACCCCGAGGAAAAGAAAUCAACCGAGAUUCCCCCAGUAGCGGCGAGCGAACGGGGAGGAGCCCAGAGCCUGAAUCAGUGUGUGUGUUAGUGGAAGCGUCUGGAAAGGCGCGCGAUACAGGGUGACAGCCCCGUACACAAAAAUGCACAUACUGU